RNAcentral lists this ribosomal RNA (458 nucleotides) under uncultured bacterium. RNAcentral's name for it is "partial 16S ribosomal RNA". It matches the Rfam family "Bacterial small subunit ribosomal RNA", at positions 338 to 795 of the family's 1533-position model. The record is from RNAcentral.
CCUACGGGUGACAGCAGUGGGGAAUAUUGCACAAUGGGGGAAACCCUGAUGCAGCGACGCCGCGUGAGUGAAGAAGUAAUUCGUUACGUAAAGCUCUAUCAGCAGGGAAGAAACACUGACCUUACGGUCAGCAGACGGUACCUGAGUAAGAAGCCCCGGCUAACUACGUGCCAGCAGCCGCGGUAAUACGUAGGGGGCAAGCGUUAUCCGGAUUUACUGGGUGUAAAGGGGGCGUAGACGGUGCGCCAAGUCUGGAGGGAAAUGCCGCAGCUUAACUGCGGAACUGCCUUGGAAACUGGCGAACUAGAGUGCGGGAGGGGUAAGCGGAAUUCCUAGUGUAGCGGUGAAAUGCGUAGAUAUUAGGAGGAACACCGGUGGCGAAGGCGGCUUACUGGACCGUAACUGACGUUGAGGCUCGAAAGCGUGGGGAGCAAACAGGAUUAGAUACCCCAGUAGUC